Rhinolophus ferrumequinum (greater horseshoe bat) is the source of this 1604-nucleotide long non-coding RNA. RefSeq lists it as uncharacterized. Lineage: Eukaryota; Metazoa; Chordata; Mammalia; Chiroptera; Rhinolophidae. The record is from RefSeq and is a predicted model, not a curated record. The transcript has 4 exons.
CAGCUCUGUCCAGACUGAGACAUGAAUUAUCCCUUUGUCCAGCGUCUCCAAAAUGUACACGCUCCCUGCCCGUGAAUCACUUAGUAGCUGUCUUGGUUAUCAGAUUGACUGCCUCCAGUAUCGCAGGGCUUUUGUUCAAGUCAGCCUUAUGGUAGCCUAAUGCUACGUCACAAUGCUGACAUCAUUCAUUUUCACUCCACAUCACCACGUAGGCACUAUCAUCACAAGAAGAAGGAAUGACAGCAUCAGCCAGGUGCUGCACAGCAGACGAAUAAGGAAAAGGCAGUUUGUGCCUGGUGGAGAAGAAGCAGAUUGUCCUUCCAACAGAGAGAUACUUGCUGAUAACAGCUGGCACGUGCCCAGCGCCUGAUCAAGAGCAGAUGAGAAGCAAGAGGAGAAACAGCUAACAAAGGAGAGAUGUGUUCAGCUGCUUCCAGAGGGACAGGGACAGGAAGCACUUACAAGGGAGGUUGAGGCUGGCCUCAUGCCUAGGUUUAGGAGAGUGACUCAAGUUUUCUGUGCCCUUCCCCUCCUUCCACACCAAUGCUGAGAGAACUAGACGAGUACCACUGGAAAUGACUCCAUUUUCUGUGUGAAACCAGCCCCGAAGAAGCAAUUAAAGCAGCCUGAAGGUGUUGGCAGAAGCCUAAGAACCUUUACGUGUGUGUUAUUUGGGGCUGCUAACCUUCCCCACCCUUGGACUCUUCUCGUCACAGAUUGGCUCCAGGUAUACGCUGCACUGAAGAGAACGGCUCUCACUGGUUCCUAGUUGUUACUUUGGGGUAAAAGUGGACCAUCGAUUUUGAGACUAGUCUGUUUGACACUGUGUCUACAGUUGGCCCAAAUGAACUGAUAAAUAAGUGAAAAAUUCAUUCCACGGCCUCAUUGUUGAGUCUAUGGAAAGCCUGUCCAAGCAAUCUGGCUGGUUUUCAUCGAGGAACCUAUAGAAUAUUUUGACAUGUGGAUACUGACUUCAUGUCUAGAUAUAUGCAUGUUUGUGUAAGUGUGUUUGUAUUUAUGGGAGAGAGAACGAGAGAGAAAGAGAGAGAGAGAGAGAGAGAGAGAGAGAGAGAGAGAGAGAGAGAUUAAAACCAUGAUGCUGAUCAAUGAGGAUAGACACUUAGAAAAAUAAACCAGUCAAAAGCUCCAGUAGAAAUCUGUUUGCUUGACUGACCUCUCCUGCAUUAAUGUAACUUAAAAAAAAAAAAACAUCAUGAAAACAUGUUGGCUUAAUGAACAGGACCUGUGAUAAAUCCUAACGCUUUAGGAGGAAAACGAAACAAGGAGAAGAUUCAGCGUCAGGGCUGAGGAUAUUCCACACCUCCUUUUUCAGGGAGUUAUUACAAGAAGGGUAUCUACUUAAGGUAGAUGUCGCUCUUUUGGUCCAGGGCCAUUGCAUAAUUUUUUUUCUGGACUUACAGACUCUUUCAAUUAGUCCUUCAUAUUCUUUUAUUGUGUAAAAAAUAUAUAACAUAGCAGUUAUCAUUUUUCAGUGCACAAUUCAGUGGCAUUAUCAGCACAUUCAUAUUGUUGUGCUAUCAUCACCACCUUCCAUCUCCAGAACUUUUUCAUCUUCCCAACUGAAACUUGGUACCCUUUCAAUC